RNAcentral lists this ribosomal RNA (822 nucleotides) under Hansenula anomala. Its description in RNAcentral is "LSU rRNA". It matches the Rfam family "Eukaryotic large subunit ribosomal RNA", at positions 83 to 919 of the family's 3401-position model. Lineage: Eukaryota; Fungi; Ascomycota; Saccharomycetes; Phaffomycetales; Wickerhamomycetaceae. The record is from RNAcentral.
GUAACGGCGAGUGAAGCGGCAAAAGCUCAAAUUUGAAAUCUAGCACCUUCGGUGUUCGAGUUGUAAUUUGAAGAUGGUAACCUUGGGUUUGGCUCUUGUCUAUGUUCCUUGGAACAGGACGUCAUAGAGGGUGAGAAUCCCGUCUGAUGAGAUGCCCAUUCCUAUGUAAGGUGCUAUCGAAGAGUCGAGUUGUUUGGGAAUGCAGCUCUAAGUGGGUGGUAAAUUCCAUCUAAAGCUAAAUAUUGGCGAGAGACCGAUAGCGAACAAGUACAGUGAUGGAAAGAUGAAAAGAACUUUGAAAAGAGAGUGAAAAAGUACGUGAAAUUGUUGAAAGGGAAGGGCAUUAGAUCAGACUUGGUGUUUUACGAUUAUCUUCUCUUCUUGAGUUGUGCACUCGUAUUUCACUGGGCCAGCAUCGAUUCGGAUGGCAAGAUAAUGGCAGUUGAAUGUGGCUUCACUUCGGUGGAGUGUUAUAGCUUCUGCUGAUAUUGCCUGUCUGGAUCGAGGGCUGCGUCUUUUGACUAGGAUGCUGGCGUAAUGAUCUAAUGCCGCCCGUCUUGAAACACGGACCAAGGAGUCUAACGUCUAUGCGAGUGUUUGGGUGUAAAACCCGUACGCGUAAUGAAAGUGAACGUAGGUGAGAGCUCUUUUUUGAGUGCAUCAUCGACCGAUCCUGAUGUUUUCGGAUGGAUUUGAGUAAGAGCAUAGCUGUUGGGACCCGAAAGAUGGUGAACUAUGCCUGAAUAGGGUGAAGCCAGAGGAAACUCUGGUGGAGGCUCGUAGCGGUUCUGACGUGCAAAUCGAUCGUCGAAUUUGGGUAUA